This 430-nucleotide ribosomal RNA is filed under the name bacterium. Its description in RNAcentral is "partial 16S ribosomal RNA". It matches the Rfam family "Bacterial small subunit ribosomal RNA", at positions 355 to 776 of the family's 1533-position model. The record is from RNAcentral.
UGGGGAAUAUUGGACAAUGGGCGCAAGCCUGAUCCAGCCAUGCCGCGUGUGUGAAGAAGGCCUUUUGGUUGUAAAGCACUUUAAGCGAGGAGGAGGCUACUUGGAUUAAUACUCUAGGAUAGUGGACGUUACUCGCAGAAUAAGCACCGGCUAACUCUGUGCCAGCAGCCGCGGUAAUACAGAGGGUGCGAGCGUUAAUCGGAUUUACUGGGCGUAAAGCGUGCGUAGGCGGCUUUUUAAGUCGGAUUUGAAAUCCCUGAGCUUAACUUAGGAAUUGCAUUCGAUACUGGGAAGCUAGAGUAUGGGAGAGGAUGGUAGAAUUCCAGGUGUAGCGGUGAAAUGCGUAGAGAUCUGGAGGAAUACCGAUGGCGAAGGCAGCCAUCUGGCCUAAUACUGACGCUGAGGUACGAAAGCAUGGGGAGCAAACAGG